GACGAACGCUGGCGGCGUGCCUAACACAUGCAAGUCGAGCGGAGUCGAUCGACGGAAGCCUUCGGGCGGAAGAUGGUUGACUUAGCGGCGGAUGGGUGAGUAACGCGUGGGAAUUUAACUAGAGGCACGGAACAACUCAGGGAAGCUUGAGCUAAUACCGUAUAUACCCUUUAUUGGGGAAAGAUUUAUCACCUUUAGAGGAGCCCGCGUUGGAUUAGCUUGUUGGUGAGGUAAUGGCUCACCAAGGCGACGAUCCAUAGCUGGUCUGAGAGGAUGAUCAGCCACACUGGGACUGAGACACGGCCCAGACUCCUACGGGAGGCAGCAGUGGGGAAUCUUGGACAAUGGGCGCAAGCCUGAACUAGCAACGCCGCGUGUGCGAAGAAGGCCUUCGGGUUGUAAAGCACUUUUUGAGAGGAUGAGGAAGGACGGUACUCUCAGAAUAAGUCUCGGCUAACUACGUG
RNAcentral lists this ribosomal RNA (464 nucleotides) under uncultured bacterium. RNAcentral's name for it is "bacterial SSU rRNA". It matches the Rfam family "Bacterial small subunit ribosomal RNA", at positions 28 to 507 of the family's 1533-position model. The record is from RNAcentral.